CUUUGGGACAAAGACACAAGAAUGAGAGUCACAUAAGAGUCAGUGAGGUCAGAUUUGACCAGGUGAUGCAGAGAUCAGUAGGAGGAAAAGUACCUUUCCCAGGGCAACAGAGCCUGUGUCCGCGCUGACGGCAGAGGGAGAAGAGUAAACCUCCACACAGAGAGCGAGAAGUAUCCGACCGCGGUAGAAGAUCCCUUCACCCAGACCCUGGUUCAAAGCCUGCAAAAGAGAGAGGUCGUACCAUUCCGGGUGGGAUCAGAAAUUUGCUGCAGGUCCAAGAAGUGCGUUGCCAGGGCGAUGUCUCCCA
Molecule: long non-coding RNA, 307 nt
Organism: Thunnus maccoyii (southern bluefin tuna)
Lineage: Eukaryota; Metazoa; Chordata; Actinopteri; Scombriformes; Scombridae
Exons: 3
Source: RefSeq, a predicted model, not a curated record